GACGAACCGUGCGAACGUUAUUCGGAAUCACUGGGCUUAAAGCGCGUGUAGGCGGAUGGGUGCGUCAGUCGCUUAAAUCCCCCGGCUCAACCGGGGAACUGGCGCUGAUACGGCCCGUCUGGAGGAAAGUAGGGGGACCUGGAACUUCCGGUGGAGCGGUGAAAUGCGUUGAGAUCGGAAGGAACGCCCGUGGCGAAAGCGAGGUCCUGGGCUUUUACUGACGCUGAGACGCGAAAGCUAGGGGAGCAAACGGG
RNAcentral lists this ribosomal RNA (254 nucleotides) under uncultured bacterium. Its description in RNAcentral is "partial 16S ribosomal RNA". It matches the Rfam family "Bacterial small subunit ribosomal RNA", at positions 524 to 776 of the family's 1533-position model. The record is from RNAcentral.